AGGCCUAACACAUGCAAGUCGAACGGUAACAGGUCUUCGGACGCUGACGAGUGGCGAACGGGUGAGUAAUACAUCGGAACGUGCCCAGUCGUGGGGGAUAACUACUCGAAAGAGUAGCUAAUACCGCAUACGAUCUGAGGAUGAAAGCGGGGGGCCUUCGGGCCUCGCGCGAUUGGAGCGCCCGAUGGCAGAUUAGGUAGUUGGUGGGAUGAAAGCUUACCAAGCCGACGAUCUGUAGCUGGUCUGAGAGGACGACCAGCCACACUGGGACUGAGACACGGCCCAGACUCCUACGGGAGGCAGCAGUGGGGAAUUUUGGACAAUGGGCGAAAGCCUGAUCCAGCAAUGCCGCGUGCAGGAUGAAGGCCUUCGGGUUGUAAACUGCUUUUGUACGGAACGAAAAAGCUUCUCCUAAUACGAGAGGCCCAUGACGGUACCGUAAGAAUAAGCACCGGCUAACUACGUGCCAGCAGCCGCGGUAAUACGUAGGGUGCGAGCGUUAAUCGGAAUUACUGGGCGUAGAGCGUGCGCAGGCGGUUAUGUAAGACAGAUGUGAAAUCCCCGGGCUCAACCUGGGAACUGCAUUUGU
RNAcentral lists this ribosomal RNA (589 nucleotides) under uncultured bacterium. Its description in RNAcentral is "bacterial SSU rRNA". It matches the Rfam family "Bacterial small subunit ribosomal RNA", at positions 44 to 630 of the family's 1533-position model. The record is from RNAcentral.